GCCUCCGUAGCAUAGUAGCUAUUGCGGCGGACUUGUAAUCCGCAGGUCGAGGGUGCAACUCCCUCCGGAGGCU
Candidatus Woesearchaeota archaeon CG1_02_47_18 is the source of this 73-nucleotide non-coding RNA. The record is from Rfam. NCBI's taxonomy places the organism in Archaea, Nanobdellati, Candidatus Woesearchaeota.